This is a long non-coding RNA of Paramormyrops kingsleyae, 1395 nucleotides long. RefSeq lists it as uncharacterized. Lineage: Eukaryota; Metazoa; Chordata; Actinopteri; Osteoglossiformes; Mormyridae. The record is from RefSeq and is a predicted model, not a curated record.
GCACGUGACAUGGUCUGGUAACUCACAUCCUGCCUAGAGAGGAAUGGAAGUAUUAUGCACGUAAGAAUCUGUUCCGUGGAGAGUCGCAGAUGGAAAGGUCCUUAGGGAUAACCCUGCUCUCAGUGCCGGGUAAGGUCUUUGCUAGGGUCAUCCUUAACAGGAUUCGUGCUCACUCGCCUGUCAGCGAUCGGCGCAGUCUGGGAAGAUAUAAUGGAAGAUCUGUUUACCUCCGGGAUAGACGCCCCGCGACCCUGAAUAGGACAAGCGGUUUCACAAAAUGGAUGGAUGGAUGGAUGAUGAGCAAGUAUUUCUCAUUUAUAACAAGAUGGUUUUGAUGUAUUUAUGCCCAUCUUUGAUCACACGAUAGUCAGUGCAGCAAUUAGCUGCACACAUAACCUGGGUCACUGAUACAUUUUUUUGAUCGAAAAGUCGUCGGGCCAGACCUGGGAUGCGUGUAUGAAGUCUUGUAUUUGUGUUUCGACUGUAAGAUUGUGUUUGUUAUAAUAAGUUUGUAUUCUAAGAGAGAGAGACACACAUACUAUUGGUGUUCAUUAUUGUCUGGGCUCCCAGUUGCCCUGUCCCAUUGCCAGAGGGCCUGUACAGUGGAAUCCUGAGCUACAUGAGGAUUUAACGUGGAGAAGGGGGCCUGCAAAUCCUUCCACCACGGACUUAUCCACAACACCCAAUGUUCCAGUGGCAAGUGGCUUCUCUCAAGGCGACUUUCAGAAGAUCCUUACUGUCCACGGUGGCCCAACCUGGAGCUAUUGCAUCACUCAGCAUCACUCUUGGAUUUAUAGGAACACACAAGCCUUUCCACCACCACAAGAUUACCGAUCCUGAAGAGUUCUUCACAAAGGAUGUGGAAAUGGAUCUCCUUAGACGACCAUGGGGUUGCUCACCAUUUACUGACGGAUGCUGUUGAAUUCGCCGUUGUGUCUGAGGACAACAUCGAGACCAUCAGUGACCUACCAAAUGCAUUGUUUCUCCUCAUCUGUCUUCUACAUGCUCUGAACAUUUACUAUCCCAAACGAUAAAAAAAUACCUUUGAGGUAAACCUAUACCUUUUUGCGGGACUGUCAACAAUUACUCAGCAAAGACAAUCUCCUUGGAGACCAGAGCUACUUUGGAAAGAUAUUGUGGGUGGCAUUUUGGUUCUGUGUCCCCCAGAUUUAGGUGUUUCUCUUACUCUCUGGAUGACCUAAUUGCUAGCACUUGUACUAUAGUUUAUGCAUUUGUAUAGUUCCUUUAUUGCAUGGUUUAUUUGCAUAUUAUAUGCUGUGUCCUUGCAGUUUUAAGGUAUACUGGUCAGAUUCUCCUUAAUUUUAAAGGAUGGUUAUGUCAAUUUACAGUGUAGGGACUUUAGUGGUUUUUCUGAAUAAAUACUGUGAAAUGUUA